RNAcentral lists this non-coding RNA (18 nucleotides) under Rattus norvegicus (Norway rat). Lineage: Eukaryota; Metazoa; Chordata; Mammalia; Rodentia; Muridae. The record is from RNAcentral.
AUAGAAACGGAGAAAUGA